CUUUAUUGGAGAGUUUGAUCCUGGCUCAGGAUGAACGCUGGCGGCGUGCCUAAUACAUGCAAGUCGAGCGAAUGGAUUGAGAGCUUGCUCU
This 91-nucleotide ribosomal RNA is filed under the name Bacillus toyonensis. RNAcentral describes it as "partial 16S ribosomal RNA". It matches the Rfam family "Bacterial small subunit ribosomal RNA", at positions 1 to 86 of the family's 1533-position model. The record is from RNAcentral. Lineage: Bacteria; Bacillati; Bacillota; Bacilli; Caryophanales; Bacillaceae.